Molecule: ribosomal RNA, 426 nt
Filed under: uncultured bacterium
Lineage: Bacteria
Description: bacterial SSU rRNA
Rfam family: Bacterial small subunit ribosomal RNA
Source: RNAcentral
GUGGGGGAUAUUGCACAAUGGGGGAAACCCUGAUGCAGCGACGCCGCGUGAGGGAAGACGGCCUUCGGGUUGUAAACCUCUGUCUUCGGGGACGAACAAAUGACGGUACCCGAGGAGGAAGCCACGGCUAACUACGUGCCAGCAGCCGCGGUAAUACGUAGGUGGCAAGCGUUGUCCGGAAUUACUGGGUGUAAAGGGAGCGUAGGCGGGGAGGCAAGUUGAAUGUCUAAACUAUCGGCUCAACUGAUAGUCGCGUUCAAAACUGCCACUCUUGAGUGCAGUAGAGGUAGGCGGAAUUCCUAGUGUAGCGGUGAAAUGCGUAGAUAUUAGGAGGAACACCAGUGGCGAAGGCGGCCUACUGGGCUGUAACUGACGCUGAGGCUCGAAAGCGUGGGUAGCAAACAGGAUUAGAAACCCUAGUAGUCC